ACGCUCGACACCUACGGGAAGCAGCAGUGAGGAAUAUUGGUCAAUGGGCGCUAGCCUGAACCAGCCAAGUAGCGUGAAGGAUGAAGGCUCUAUGGGUCGUAAACUUCUUUUAUAUAAGAAUAAAGUGCAGUAUGUAUACUGUUUUGUAUGUAUUAUAUGAAUAAGGAUCGGCUAACUCCGUGCCAGCAGCCGCGGUAAUCUGAGCGGGCUGGCAAGGC
This 218-nucleotide ribosomal RNA is filed under the name uncultured bacterium. RNAcentral describes it as "partial 16S ribosomal RNA". It matches the Rfam family "Bacterial small subunit ribosomal RNA", at positions 326 to 539 of the family's 1533-position model. The record is from RNAcentral.